RNAcentral lists this ribosomal RNA (490 nucleotides) under uncultured bacterium. Its description in RNAcentral is "partial 16S ribosomal RNA". It matches the Rfam family "Bacterial small subunit ribosomal RNA", at positions 30 to 507 of the family's 1533-position model. The record is from RNAcentral.
AUUGAACGCUGGCGGCAUGCCUUACACAUGCAAGUCGAACGGCAGCAUGAUCUAGCUUGCUAGAUUGAUGGCGAGUGGCGAACGGGUGAGUAAUACAUCGGAACGUGCCCUGUAGUGGGGGAUAACUAGUCGAAAGAUUAGCUAAUACCGCAUACGACCUGAGGGUGAAAGUGGGGGACCGCAAGGCCUCAUGCUAUAGGAGCGGCCGAUGUCUGAUUAGCUAGUUGGUGAGGUAAAGGCUCACCAAGGCGACGAUCAGUAGCUGGUCUGAGAGGACGAUCAGCCACACUGGGACUGAGACACGGCCCAGACUCCUACGGGAGGCAGCAGUGGGGAAUUUUGGACAAUGGGCGAAAGCCUGAUCCAGCAAUGCCGCGUGUGUGAAGAAGGCCUUCGGGUUGUAAAGCACAUUUGUCCGGAAAGAAAUGGCUCUGGUUAAUACCUGGGGUCGAUGACGGUACCGGAAGAAUAAGGACCGGCUAACUACGUG